GUAAGUUUUCCGGCCCAAUGAGAAGGAGUCUGUCCCUCUAACCCUAGCUGCAGUGAAGAAACGAAGUUCGUCUUCUUCUACGUGCAAUGGCCAGACUGUGACUUUUGCGAUUCUUCUCACGACCUGAAACAGUUUGAUUAAUGGCUUUGUGUUUAAUCCCAUUGAUUCACACCUCCACGAUGUGUCUACAAAGCGUUGUUUGGAUCUGGAAGUCGGUGUGGUUUUGGUAUAAAUAUAUAUCUGGCUUUUGGAAGGUCUGUAUGCGAACAAGAGGUGAGCUCACCAAUCUUGGACAAUAAGAGAACGAAGAAAAAGCGUUUCCACCGCCACACACCUCACCAGCCCCAAUGGCUUGAAUCAUAUUCUCUAUUCUUCUCUACUCAGUUGUUUUCUCCAUCUCUUUCUUUAUGUUCUCUUAUGGUUUUGUUUACAGAGCGUAUCAGCAUCCAGAUGAGCAACUUAGCAUAUAAUUGAGUUUAGCUCCAAGACAGAUCAAGAUUUGGUUUCAGAACCAAAGAACACAGACGAAGCCACAACUCAAGAGAGCUGAUAAUUGUGCACUCAAGGAAGAGAAUUAUAGGAUUCGUUAUGAAAACGAUGCCAUUAGAGAAGCUCUCAAAUACGCCACCAAAACUCUUACUUUGAUGAACAGAAGAUUUGAAUCGAAAAUGCUUAGAGAAGAGUGAUGUGAACAUGAUUUUCAGUUGGAUAAUAGCCAUCACAGCAGAGAUCAAGAUGGGACGCAAGUUAAGAAAGACAACAACGGAUGCGGUGGCGGAAAUUCUUGUGGUGCCGUGUUCACGCGGUGGUUUGUGGCGAGGUGAGGAGACAAGAGGGAUGAGAAGGGAGAUUGAGCAUGUUGUCUAGAAGUAGAUUACUGUUAUCCGCACUAUCAGAAGUUCUCUGACAAUGUAAACCAGUACUGAUUUUGACUUUUCAAGGGUAUCUACAGGAGCAUCACUUCAUCUUUCUACUUGCUCUGCUAGCCAUCUUUCAAUUCCUUGAAGCACGUAAACAUCAACUCCAAGAGUGAAGAUAGCUUUUACAUUCUUUUGAAAAUAAGGUAGAAAGAUGAUGAUCAAAUUUUUAGUAUGCUAUUAGAAGUUAUAUUAUUAUUGUUUUUCUUUAUGAAUUUAGUUUGAUACAUUGCUUAUUAGAUUCUGGUUGUUAUAUAUUAUUUAUAAGUUCGUCUC
Long non-coding RNA from Brassica napus (rape), 1193 nucleotides. RefSeq lists it as uncharacterized. Lineage: Eukaryota; Viridiplantae; Streptophyta; Magnoliopsida; Brassicales; Brassicaceae. The record is from RefSeq and is a predicted model, not a curated record. The transcript has 4 exons.